RNAcentral lists this ribosomal RNA (429 nucleotides) under Lycosa coelestis. RNAcentral's name for it is "partial 16S ribosomal RNA". Lineage: Eukaryota; Metazoa; Arthropoda; Arachnida; Araneae; Lycosidae. The record is from RNAcentral.
ACGAGGCUUUAUAAUAAUAAAGUCUAGUCAAGAAUAAUUAAAUAGCCGCUUUCGUGCUAAGGUAGCAUAAUAAUUUGUCUUUUAAUUAAAGACUAGAACAAAAGACUUAUACAUUUCAAUUUAUUUUUUUAAUCAAAUUAUUUAAAUUAUCUUAAUUGUAAAAGACAAUUUUUCAAUAGUAAAGACGAUAAGACCCUAUCGAACUUUACUUUAGUUUAACUGGGGAAGUUAAUUAAUUAUUAUUUUAAAUAAAUUAAAUAUUAAAAUUGACCUAACAUAGUUAAUCAAUUAAUUAAGUUACCGUAGGGAUAACAGCAUAAUAAAAUUUAUUAGACCUAAUUUAAAAUUAAGAUUAUGACCUCGAUGUUGAUUUAAUAUCCUAUUUCACGCAGUAGUAAACUAAGGAAGUCUGUUCGACUUUUAAAAAUU